RNAcentral lists this transfer RNA (73 nucleotides) under Candidatus Omnitrophota bacterium. RNAcentral describes it as "tRNA-Ala". It matches the Rfam family "tRNA". From Rfam's summary of the family: Transfer RNA (tRNA) molecules are approximately 80 nucleotides in length. Their secondary structure includes four short double-helical elements and three loops (D, anti-codon, and T loops). Further hydrogen bonds mediate the characteristic L-shaped molecular structure. tRNAs have two regions of fundamental functional importance: the anti-codon, which is responsible for specific mRNA codon recognition, and the 3' end, to which the tRNAs corresponding amino acid is attached (by aminoacyl-tRNA synthetases). tRNAs cope with the degeneracy of the genetic code in two manners: having more than one tRNA (with a specific anti-codon) for a particular amino acid; and 'wobble' base-pairing, i.e. permitting non-standard base-pairing at the 3rd anti-codon position. Lineage: Bacteria; Pseudomonadati; Candidatus Omnitrophota. The record is from RNAcentral.
GGGGCUGUAGUUCAGUUGGGAGAACGACGGCUUUGCAAGCCGUAGGUCACCGGUUCGAGCCCGGUCAGCUCCA